GGAUGACUCUAUUGCUUGGCCCUCCAGGCUGUGGGAAAUCCACUUUAUUACAGGCGCUUGCAGGGAAACCUAACCAUUCUCUCAAGGUCAAGGAGCGGGUACCACUAGCAAGGACACAAAAAACAUCGGCAAAGAUCAAGCAAGGUCGCAUGUUUCUUCAGAUUGUACUCUCAAGUACAUAAUAGAACACCCAUAACCUAUAUGUGAGUUCAGGUAAAAGUUGGCAUCAAACAUAAUAUGAAGAUAUUUAAAAGGCCACAGCAUGGAUCACUGACCAUUUAUCUUUUGCAAUCAACAAAGACAAUUCUAAUCUAGGAUGCUCUCUGUUAAUCUAGAAUGUUUUACAUUUUAGGACGGUGAUGAUAAAUUGUUGGUUAAAUUAAGUUGUUUUUAUACAGUAUUGUUGUCGGCAUAUUAAUUUACAUUUUGUAAUGUGAUAUUGCAAUUUGUUAUCUCUA
This is a long non-coding RNA of Rosa rugosa (rugosa rose), 458 nucleotides long. RefSeq lists it as uncharacterized. NCBI's taxonomy places the organism in Eukaryota, Viridiplantae, Streptophyta, Magnoliopsida, Rosales, Rosaceae. The record is from RefSeq and is a predicted model, not a curated record. The transcript has 3 exons.